Molecule: long non-coding RNA, 1056 nt
Organism: Callithrix jacchus (white-tufted-ear marmoset)
Lineage: Eukaryota; Metazoa; Chordata; Mammalia; Primates; Cebidae
Source: Ensembl
CCGGAGCUCCGCUGGCCCACACACCGGGUCGCCGGCUCCUUCCCGCCGCGCCCCGCUCCCCCGCCCGAGCUUCCAGCCGCCAGGCUCGCCAAGUCCGGCCGCGGCCGCCGGUUACCGCCCCCAGCCCGGGGGGAGCCCGGGGGGCAGGACGGGGAGGGAGGACGUGGCGCGCUCGGAGGUGGCCAGCGGCGGGGCGGGGAGUGUCCCGGAGAGGCCCAGCCGGGGGCGAGGGGGACAGGCCGGCGCGGGCUCGGGACCCUCCCCGCGAGCAUCCCCGAGUUCGAGGCCCCCGACCGCCCCCGCCGGCGUGGAAAGGCGGCCCCAACUUCCAGCCCCACUUCGCACACCCGCCCUCUUCCCUCCACCAUAUGGAAAUCUACAGCCUCAGAAAGUGACACGUCGAAGAUUCCUCGGCCUCGCCGCCCUCCCUCCCCCUCCUGGGCAGUGUUCCUGCCGCGGAGAUUCCGGGAGGGGGAGCGGAUUCCUCGGACAAAAUCUGCUAGGAAGGCUGGGGGUGGGGGGAGGCCGCGAGCCACUGCCCAGAUUUUCUUUUUUUUUUUUUUUUGGAGGAAUCUACCGGUUUCUUUCACUCCUCCAAACCCUGAGGCAAGGGGCACAGGCGGGGAACCCGAGCCUAGCAAGGCGGGGGCCGCCCCCUCCCGGGUCCCGUGUUCCCGGGGUGCCCAGGCGAGCGCGGGGCGCCCCAGCACUCCGGCGCCAAGUUUUUGCCGGGAAGCCCAGGGCGCUCCCGGGACAGGGACGCACUUUGGCGGACUCCGCGUCAGGCCGGGGCUUUCCAGCGCACCGCGACCCGGCAAUCGAGCGCGGGGUCCCGCUCUCCUCCAGCCCCCGGCUCCUGCACGCCUUACCUUCCCUAGGGCUGAAACGCGGGGCUCCGGGCGCGCUACACACCGGGUCGCCCACGCCUUCCCAGCCGGCAGCCGGGAGGAUCCCUGCCGCCCCCUUCGCUGCUCCCGCCGCCGCCGCCGCCGCUCUCCUCCUCCAGCCGCCGCCGCCGUCGCUGCCGCCGCUCAAAUAACUACCAGGAGGGUUUGA